CCUUAGAGUUUGAUCCUGGCUCAGGACGAACUCUGGCGGCGUGCCUAACACAUGCAAGUCGAACGAGAAUCGUGGAACAGAGGCUUCGGCCGACGGGAAGCGAGGAAAGUGGCGAACGGGUGAGUAACGCGUGAGGAACCUGCCUUUCAGUGGGGGACAACAGUUGGAAACGACUGCUAAUACCGCAUAACAUAUCGGGACCGCAUGAUCUUGAUAUCAAAGCUUUAUGUGCUGAAAGAUGGCCUCGCGUCUGAUUAGCUAGUUGGAGGGGUAACGGCCCACCAAGGCGACGAUCAGUAGCCGGUCUGAGAGGAUGAACGGCCACAUUGGGACUGAGACACGGCCCAAACUCCUACGGGAGGCAGCAGUGGGGAAUAUUGCACAAUGGGGGAAACCCUGAUGCAGUGACGCCGCGUAUAGGAAGAAGAUUUUCGGAUUGUAAACUAUUGUCUGUAGGGAAGAUAAAAGACUGUACCUACAAAGAAAGCUCCGGCUAACUACGUGCCAGCAGCCGCGGUAAUACGUAGGGAGCAAGCGUUAUCCGGAUUUAUUGGGUGUAAAGGGUGCGUAGACGGGAAAUUAAGUUAGUUGUGAAAUCCCUCGGCUCAACUGAGGAACUGCAACUAAAACUGAUUUUCUUGAGUGCAGGAGAGGAAAGUGGAAUUCCUAGUGUAGCGGUGAAAUGCGUAGAUAUUAGGAGGAACACCAGUGGCGAAGGCGACUUUCUGGACUGCAACUGACGUUGAGGCACGAAAGUGUGGGGAGCAAACAGGAUUAGAUACCCUGGUAGUCCACACUGUAAACGAU
Molecule: ribosomal RNA, 807 nt
Filed under: uncultured bacterium
Lineage: Bacteria
Description: bacterial SSU rRNA
Rfam family: Bacterial small subunit ribosomal RNA
Source: RNAcentral